Molecule: long non-coding RNA, 1224 nt
Filed under: Sus scrofa (pig)
Lineage: Eukaryota; Metazoa; Chordata; Mammalia; Artiodactyla; Suidae
Description: lncRNA (ENSSSCG00040011950.1)
Source: RNAcentral
GGGGUAUAAUCUUUGCGGGGGUGGGGUGGGUAGGGGCGUGCCCAUGGCACGCAAAUUCCCACACCAGGGAUUGAACCCAAACCACAGCAGUGACAACGCUGAAUCCUUCACCACUAGGCCACCAGGGACCUCUCAUAGAUUAAUUUUUAUAUGCAGAAGUUCAUGUAAGAAAUGAGCAAGAUGAAAUUGAUAGCAAAAUGACAUAAGCAUUAACGCUCCAAAUCUUUUUUUUUUUUUGGUAAUUAAAAAUUCUUUAAUUUUUUGCUUUUGGGGGCUGCACUUGUGGCAUAUGGAAGUUCCCGGGCUAGGGGUCUAAUCAGAGCUGCAGCUGCCAGCCUAUGCCACAGCCACGCCAGAUCCGAGCCACGUCUGCGACCUAUACCACAGCUCACGGCAGCACCAGAUCCUUAACCCACUGAGUGAGGCCGGGUACCAAAUCUGUAUCCUCAUGGAUGUUAGUUGGGUUCGUUACUGCUGAGCUACAAGAGGAGCUCCAAAUGCUCCAAAUCUUCUAUCAUCUCCGCCACUCUUGAUAGUGGAAACUCCACUUUUUGCAUAAUUUCAAGAUCUCCCUGGCACAGCCUCUCGUAUGGUUUUUAUCCAGCUACUUCAAUAGUUGAAACUGGAAGGCAGUACUCUGGCCAGCACCCUGAUCUGUGUUUUGAUUCUUAUUCCAUCCUUCUGCCUUUGGGGGAAAAUCCAGGAAUUUUGUCUGACAGCGUGAUAUGACGACUAGGACACUAGCAAUGCAAGAAUGUUCCAUCAAGGAGGAAGUGGUCCCCAGCAGGGUACUGGUCUCUGCGGGGCUGUUUGCAGAACUGAGAGACGCAGAGUCAGUAGUGAGUCGAAUGCAGAGAAGAGCAGCAUCUGAGCGGUGGUGAAGCCAGUGAGAAAGUCACACAGCAGCACAGAAGCGUAAUAAAUGGCUCGGAGGAGAGGAGCCCCAGGAAGCUAAUACACAGCCGCCAGGUUCUUGCCUGGAAGCCACCCAAUGCAGUAAGAGACCCACUCAUCCACAGAAGUAGAUUUCGAAGGAUCAUCUGCCCUGCAGCUGUCAAAGAACUGAACUGGAGGUGGAGUCAGCCUCGAGGCCUUCCUCAGAAGGGGUUGGAGGGCUUGCCGUCCUGCAGAGUCAUGUCCUCAGGGAGGUCCUCUCUUCAUUCCAGUUUCUGGGGCUGGAUGCCGGCGUCUUCCAGCACCGGCCACAGAGCGUCGUGCACCUGA